CCCUUAGAUGUCCUGGGCCGCACGCGCGCUACACUGAUGCAUGCAACGAGUUGCCAUUCUCCUGGGUCGAGAGGCCCGGGUAAUCUGCUGAACGUGCAUCGUGAUAGGGAUAGAUCUUUGCAACUAUCGAUCUUGAACGAGGAAUUCCUAGUAAACGCGAGUCAUCAGCUCGCAUUGAUUACGUCCCUGCCCUUUGUACACACCGCCCGUCGCACCUACCGAUUGAAUGUUUCGGUGAAGAUUCCGGACCGCGUUCGGCGCGCUUAACGGCGCGUCCGCGCGUGGGAAGUUAUCUAAACCUCAACAUUUAGAGGAAGGUGAAGUCGUAACA
This 331-nucleotide ribosomal RNA is filed under the name uncultured eukaryote. RNAcentral's name for it is "partial 18S ribosomal RNA". It matches the Rfam family "Eukaryotic small subunit ribosomal RNA", at positions 1470 to 1796 of the family's 1831-position model. The record is from RNAcentral.